RNAcentral lists this ribosomal RNA (1029 nucleotides) under Triticum aestivum (bread wheat). Its description in RNAcentral is "partial small subunit ribosomal RNA". Lineage: Eukaryota; Viridiplantae; Streptophyta; Magnoliopsida; Poales; Poaceae. The record is from RNAcentral.
AUGGGGCGCCGCGGAUCCGCGAGCGGGUGGCUCGUCCUCCUGCUCGCUCUUCUCGCUGUCUCUCUGGUCCCGUCGUGCUCGGCCGCUAAGGUAAAGACCAGCCCGACGGACUGGAGCCUCCACCUCCCCCUGCCCAACGGCGUCACCGGCGCCGAGAGCCUGGCCUUCGACGCGCGCGGCCAGGGUCCCUACACCGGCGUCUCUGACGGACGCGUCCUCAAGUGGGGCGGCAGCGCCGUCGGCUGGACGACCUUCGCCUACCACGCCAACUACAGGAAGUUCCCCAUGUGCACCGUGCCCGUGGCGCCGUCGGAGGAGACGGAGAGCCUGUGCGGGCGGCCGCUGGGGCUCGCGUUUCACCGCAAGUCCGGCGACCUCUACAUCGCCGACGCGUACAAGGGGCUCAUGAGGGUCGGCCCCGACGGCGGCGAGGCGGAGGUGCUGGCCACCAGUGCCGGUGGCGUCCGGUUCAACUUCGUCAACGGCAUUGACAUUGAUCAGGUUACUGGCGAUGUUUACUUCACCGACAGCAGCGUGACAUAUCCACGAAGGUUUAAUACGGAAAUCAUGAUGAACGCGGACGCGACGGGGAGGCUGCUCAAGUACGACGCGCGGACGAAGCAGGUCACCGUGCUCAAGGACGGCUUGCCGUACGCCAACGGCGUCGCGGUGAGCCACGACAGGACGUACGUCGUCGUCGCGCACACGGUGCCGUGCCAGGCACACAGGUACUAUCUCCAGGGACCAAAGGCUGGCCACUACGAGCUGCUCGCCGACCUGCCGGGCUACCCGGACAACGUGCGGCGAGACGGGAAGGGCGGCUACUGGGUGGCGCUGAACCAGGAGAAGGGGCGCCCGGGCGCGACCACAGCCCCCGUGAAGCACUUGGUCGGUGUCCUCGACGGCGGCGGCGUGGAGGUAGAGGAGCUGACGGCGGCCAAGGGCGUGACGCUCAGCGAGGUGACCGAGAGGAAAGGGCAGCUGUGGCUCGGCUCCGUCGAGCUCGAUUAUAUCGGCCUAGUUGCCUAG